Long non-coding RNA from Spinacia oleracea (spinach), 1046 nucleotides. RefSeq lists it as uncharacterized. The record is from RefSeq and is a predicted model, not a curated record. The transcript has 4 exons. Lineage: Eukaryota; Viridiplantae; Streptophyta; Magnoliopsida; Caryophyllales; Amaranthaceae.
UCUCUCUCUUCCCUCAUUUUCUCUCUCAUCCUGCAAUUCCCCUCUCUUCUACGAUUCAUGUUCACCCAGUUCAUAGCUUUGCACUUCUAACAUUCGCAUCUUCUCUCAUGCAGCAAUUUUUCGUAAAAGAUGCUCGUCAAUUGGGUAUUAACUGGGUGAUCCCUGGUCAUCUAGAGAGAAGACCCUGUCAAAUGCGACAAAUGAUUUUGCUGCAGACAAGAUUGAGUAUUAACAAACCCAAGGCGUGGAAGUAAUUUCUUGCGUAGGUGAGACUUUGGAUCAGCGUGAAGGAGGGACUACAGUGGAGGUAGUUGCAACUCAGACAAAAGCUAUUGCUGCAAGCUAGCAAAUAGCUACUGCCAACAGACCUCAUAAACUAGCAGACCAGAACAUGGCGUCCUAGCUGCUUAGAACAAAGGGGCAUCUGAUCAACACUAAAACUACAUCAGCAAACAAGUGUGUUGUGAGUGUGCGCGUGUGUAUGUUACUUUCAGUGUUCAACAUGCCUGAUGCCUGUAAUACAGUUCUUGUUUCAGAAAGGUUGAGUUUACUAUUUUUAGAUUGUUCGGUGUGUGUGUUCACACAUUUUGGCACCAUAUAAGAAAUUAUACUCAAUGACAUGUCUGCAAACAUUAGAUGUGUAAUUUUAGCUACCAUUCUCAUUGUUCUGGGCUAAUAGAGAGCCUUCCAAAGCUGUGAUAUAUAAAUGGACAUUGUUGGCUGCUGAAUUGCAGGUGACAUGAGUUGACUAUUCUGCUGGUCAAUAUAGGGUGGUUUUGUUAGGUUGCCUUUGUGUCUCUUGUUCCUAUUGCCUUAUUCUGUUGCUGUUAUGUUAUGACAAGUCACAUAUCAAGUCUGUGCUGCUUUUUUGCUGUUUGUUGGUGGUCCGAAGAUGGGAGGUGUUCUGGGAUGUGGUUAGGUUUGAAGACAGGGUGCUCUGUUGGGCUUAUAAGUUGAGUAUUGUUUACUGAUGGUUGUUGUUUUUUGAUAUCCUUUUACUUUUACGAGUUAUUUAUAAAUAUAUGAUUGCAUUCUAAUUAUUCUUA